CACCGCUGACGACCGGCGCACGGGUGCGUAACGCGUAUACAAUCUACCUUUUACAGGGGCAUAGCCCGGGGAAACCCGGAUUAAUAUCCCAUGGUAUCAUUUAGUGGCAUCACUUGAAUGAUUAAAGCUUCGGCGGUAAAAGAUGAGUAUGCGUUCUAUUAGCUAGAUGGUAAGGUAACGGCUUACCAUGGCUACGAUAGAUAGGGGUCCUGAGAGGGAGAUCCCCCACACUGGUACUGAGACACGGACCAGACUCCUACGGGAGGCAGCAGUGAGGAAUAUUGGACAAUGGGCGAGAGCCUGAUCCAGCCAUGCCGCGUGCAGGAAGACUGCCCUAUGGGUUGUAAACUGCUUUUAUACGGGAAGAAACACUCCUUCGUGAAGGAGCUUGACGGUACCGUACGAAUAAGGAUCGGCUAACUCCGUGCCAGCAGCCGCGGUAAUACGGAGGAUCCAAGCGUUAUCCGGAAUCAUUGGGUUUAAAGGGUCCGUAGGCGGGAUAAUAAGUCAGUGGUGAAAGUCUGCAGCUCAACUGUAGAACUGCCAUUGAAACUGUUGUCCUUGAGUAAUUAUGAAGUGGUUAGAAUAUGUAGUGUAGCGGUGAAAUGCAUAGAUAUUACAUAGAAUACCGAUUGCGAAGGCAGAUCACUAAUAAUUUACUGACGCUGAUGGACGAAAGCGUAGGUAGCGAACAGGAUUAGAUACCCUGGUAGUCUACGCCGUAAACGAUGGUUACUAGCUGUUUGGCUCGAUUGAGAGC
Molecule: ribosomal RNA, 760 nt
Filed under: Salinimicrobium gaetbulicola
Lineage: Bacteria; Pseudomonadati; Bacteroidota; Flavobacteriia; Flavobacteriales; Flavobacteriaceae
Description: bacterial SSU rRNA
Rfam family: Bacterial small subunit ribosomal RNA
Source: RNAcentral